AAACCAGCACAACUUGGAUCGAUUUGCUUGCAUGUCUGUACCUAGCCAUCGUGGUAGCCAAGAGGUGCUGGGUUGAAUAUAAAUGGGGAAUAGCAGCAGUUGGGUUGUUUCCGUACGUAACGCAGGAGGGCACAACAUCUCAAGGUUAGAAGGGCCCUCAAGGUUUAUGCCUGAAACCUUCCAGUCUGGAGCGGGAUACGCUACCCUUGCGCUGUGCAUGGAGCUGAGCGAGGGUCACAACAUCAGGUGGGGUACCCUCUCCUCCCGGGGCUCUUGCACACCUGUUUGCUCAUCCAGAUGCCUCGAGGCACCUGCGGGAAACCGGCCGGCGAGCAAAUCUCCAUGCACAUGCCUGUCUUCUUGUUGCAGCGGCGCGUGGCGAGAUCCCCGCAGCUGCAGAGAAACACGCAUGGAGUUAAAUCAACUUUGCUGAGAGCGGAGCAGAGGGAGCAGGAAUCCGACUAUAAACACAGCGGGGCGAGAGCGUCCGACGGAGCCGCUUUCCUCUGCCUCUCCCUGCCCUCUGGCUCUUUCUCCACAUUUCCCUCCUUCCUUCCCUGCUCUCUUUCUCUCCCCCUCUUCUCUGCUGCUCUUCCCCUUUGCAAAUCCAGCGCCCUUUCUGAGCCGAGCGUCCUCUACCCCUCGCAUGGCUCAAAUGAUAGUGCCCCCCCUCCCUCCAGCCCUAAUUGUUCCUUUAUUGCUGCUGUUAAGCCAGUGAAUCCAGAUUUAAUUAAAAAGAAAAGAAAAGAAAACCCUGCAACAACCAGGGCCUGGACACAGGGGAGGAAGAGUGAUUGGCAGCCUCAUAGGAAAGUGAGCAGCAGACUGCAAGCCACCAGCUGUCCCGUCGCCAGCCUUUGGAUAGCAGCGCUGACCCCGAGCGAGGCCUUCAUCAGGUCCUCUAGAAGUGGAGGCUCCUUCAUGCUAUUUCCAUGGCUUCCAAGUAGCACGGUAAUCGGCUCCACCUGCCAAUAAUUCAUCUCCCCGUCAACUGAAGGCCCCAGCAUGUCCAUCCAGCACCUCCUGAAAAUCCUGCAUCUGGGGUGACCUCUGAGGUCUUUUGCAAAUCUAUGCCAUAUUUUAUAGAUAAUCGUCCAACUAACAGAUUUAUUUUUUUGUUUUGGUUUAGAAAAAGUCCAAAUGACAAUUUUUUGGACAACUUGAAAACUUUAUUUUUUUUUUAAAUUGUAAGUAAAAAUAAAUUAUAAUAAUAAUC
Long non-coding RNA from Alligator mississippiensis (American alligator), 1216 nucleotides. RefSeq lists it as uncharacterized. The transcript has 3 exons. Lineage: Eukaryota; Metazoa; Chordata; Crocodylia; Alligatoridae. The record is from RefSeq and is a predicted model, not a curated record.